UGGAUAAGAAGGAGGAGGGAAUAAAGCUUUGACAGAUGGUACUCAGCGUUUGACUCCUGCUGAGCUCAGCAGGACCUGUGGUUUCCAAGGUUAGGGCUGUCAAAAUGGCUGUGUCUAUCAAGUGAAUAACAAAGUGUAGACUGCCCGUCCGUUUCCUAUACAAAACUUAGAUUUCAUGUGCCAUCAUUGUUGGUCUUUCUGCUGAUUUAAUAACUUCCAAGAAGAACUGAGGAUUCUGAUGCAGCCUCACUGUUUAAGAAACUACUUGGAGAGGGAAUUCUCAAGGGCUGGAAGAGAGUCUUCAGAUAGAGAAAGUCUCUAGUGCUGAAAGAUAAGAGAGCUGAAUAACGUCAUCAACAUUUUUAUUUUGUCUUGUGCUGUUACAGGUAUUUUUCUUGCUCUGUUCCAUCCAUGCCUUUCCAUGGAGCAAAGAAACAAGUUAUCAACAAUCAGGGGCAUGGCAACUAUGAUUCCAUCAUUCACAAGUUCAAUUUCCUUCAAAAGAACAAGUGAUACUGUUAACCAGGCCCUGCAAGCACAUAUAAAACAAACAGCAUGACU
Molecule: long non-coding RNA, 561 nt
Organism: Bubalus bubalis (water buffalo)
Lineage: Eukaryota; Metazoa; Chordata; Mammalia; Artiodactyla; Bovidae
Exons: 3
Source: RefSeq, a predicted model, not a curated record